GUCCAAAGUUGAUUGGACCUAGGGCAUAAUACUUACAAACUCCCACUUGCACUAGAUCCAAUCACUUAUGUAUCAAAUAUCAUAAGUCUACAUGACGAUCAUGUUUACACUACGACAACUCUUUGUCGGUGGAUCUGCAAUAUUAUUAAACGUGGAAAUUUGCUCUUCUCUUUACGUCAUUUCCAUGUAUUAUCUCUUUGAUGAGAUUAUACCGCCUUAAUACAUGUUUGGAUCAUUGAUGAGACCUUAGUUCCUUUGCUUUCGCAAUGGCUCUAUUGUUAUCACAAUACUAUUGUAUGUGAUUAACAAUAUCAGGAACUACUCCAAGUUCAUUUAUGAACAUCAUGAUCCAUAUUGCAACUCUUUGCUACUUCUAAAGUAUCCAUGUAUUAGGUUUCUACUAUUGAAUCAAUGGCUGCUUCACGUUUGGAACCUUUCCAACAUACCGCUUAAGAGUAAACCAGUUUCUCCAUAUGAAAUCUUCUCAAGAUUUCAUCUAUGUAAAUUGGGAUGAGUUAAGCAAUCUUCGAGAUCUACCUCUAUAGAUCAAGUUGCUUAUCCCAUAUCGUUUAUGAAUAAAUCCUUUAACAACCAUUAUUUCAACGAUUGAAAUAUAGGGAUGUCGUUUUAGGAAUACGAAAAAUGCUCCCACUAUCUUCUGGUAUACACACAAUUCGUUUUUAAAUUUGAUAAAAUCAAACACUUUGACUUUUCAUCAAAUCUAAGAUUUCAGCUCCAAGAGACUUCUCUUAACCUAUAGUCACGAUAUGCAACUAUUGCAAACAAAACCCGAAUGGACUUAAGCAAGGCUACAGGAGAAAUAUUUCACCAAGGUCAACAUUUAACCUUUG
RNAcentral lists this long non-coding RNA (851 nucleotides) under Olea europaea subsp. europaea. Lineage: Eukaryota; Viridiplantae; Streptophyta; Magnoliopsida; Lamiales; Oleaceae. The record is from RNAcentral.